This 325-nucleotide small RNA is filed under the name Arabidopsis thaliana (thale cress). RNAcentral describes it as "ATSL204990". Lineage: Eukaryota; Viridiplantae; Streptophyta; Magnoliopsida; Brassicales; Brassicaceae. The record is from RNAcentral.
AUUUCCAUAAAUAUUUAAUUAAACCAACCAAUAAAACAAUAAUUAAACCGUAAGUCAAAAAUACUAUUUUAUGAAUAAAUAAAUAAUUCAACCAACAAAACCAAGAAUGACUAACAAUCCUAACACAAUACUAACCGGUUCUAAUAACCAAAACACAAAAAUAAACCAAACGAGUUCCUAGAUCAUCCUCUCUUCCUUGCCAUGAUUUCACGAUCACACUUUAUCUUUACCUGCAUCAACAAUACAAUGAGAUGCGUAAGUAUUAUCACAAAUACUUAGUGAGGCGAUCCUCCCAUCUACGAGCUAUACACACAAGCAAUUAAAA